This 1272-nucleotide ribosomal RNA is filed under the name Listeria monocytogenes. Its description in RNAcentral is "partial 23S ribosomal RNA". It matches the Rfam family "Bacterial large subunit ribosomal RNA", at positions 408 to 1679 of the family's 2925-position model. Lineage: Bacteria; Bacillati; Bacillota; Bacilli; Caryophanales; Listeriaceae. The record is from RNAcentral.
CUGAGUACGGCGGAACACGUGAAAUUCCGUCGGAAUCCGGGAGGACCAUCUCCCAAGGCUAAAUACUCCCUAGUGACCGAUAGUGAACCAGUACCGUGAGGGAAAGGUGAAAAGCACCCCGGAAGGGGAGUGAAACAGUUCCUGAAACCGUGUGCCUACAAGUAGUUAGAGCCCGUUAAUGGGUGAUAGCGUGCCUUUUGUAGAAUGAACCGGCGAGUUACGAUUUGUUGCAAGGUUAAGCGGAAAAAGCGGAGCCGUAGCGAAAGCGAGUCUGAAUAGGGCGCAUAAGUAACAGGUCGUAGACCCGAAACCAGGUGAUCUACCCAUGUCCAGGAUGAAGGUAAGGUAAUACUUACUGGAGGUCCGAACCCACGCACGUUGAAAAGUGCGGGGAUGAGGUGUGGGUAGCGGAGAAAUUCCAAUCGAACUUGGAGAUAGCUGGUUCUCUCCGAAAUAGCUUUAGGGCUAGCCUCGAGGUAAAGAGUCAUGGAGGUAGAGCACUGUUUGGACUAGGGGCCCUUCUCGGGUUACCGAAUUCAGAUAAACUCCGAAUGCCAUGUACUUAUACUCGGGAGUCAGACUGCGAGUGAUAAGAUCCGUAGUCGAAAGGGAAACAGCCCAGACCACCAGUUAAGGUCCCCAAAUAUAUGUUAAGUGGAAAAGGAUGUGGGGUUGCUUAGACAACCAGGAUGUUGGCUUAGAAGCAGCCACCAUUGAAAGAGUGCGUAAUAGCUCACUGGUCGAGUGACCCCGCGCCGAAAAUGUACCGGGGCUAAACAUAUUACCGAAACUGUGGAUGAACCUCUUUAGAGGUUCGUGGUAGGAGAGCGUUCUAAGGGCGGUGAAGUCAGACCGGAAGGACUGGUGGAGCGCUUAGAAGUGAGAAUGCCGGUAUGAGUAGCGAAAGAAGGGUGAGAAUCCCUUCCACCGAAUAUCUAAGGUUUCCUGAGGAAGGCUCGUCCGCUCAGGGUUAGUCGGGACCUAAGCCGAGGCCGAUAGGCGUAGGCGAUGGACAACAGGUAGAGAUUCCUGUACCAGUGCUAAUUGUUUAACCGAUGGGGUGACACAGAAGGAUAGGGAAUCGCACGAAUGGAAAUGUGCGUCCAAGCAGUGAGUGUGAGAAGUAGGCAAAUCCGCUUCUCGCGAAGCAUGAGCUGUGAUGGGGAAGGAAAUUAAGUACGGAAGUUCCUGAUUUCACGCUGUCAAGAAAAGCCUCUAGGAAGAGUAGUACUGCCCGUACCGCAAACCGACACAGGUAGAUGAGGAGAGAAU